RNAcentral lists this ribosomal RNA (468 nucleotides) under uncultured bacterium. Its description in RNAcentral is "partial 16S ribosomal RNA". It matches the Rfam family "Bacterial small subunit ribosomal RNA", at positions 28 to 507 of the family's 1533-position model. The record is from RNAcentral.
GACGAACGCUGGCGGCGUGCUUAACACAUGCAAGUCGAACGGAAAGGCCCUGCUUUUGUGGGGUGCUCGAGUGGCGAACGGGUGAGUAACACGUGAGUAACCUGCCCUUGACUUUGGGAUAACUUCAGGAAACUGGGGCUAAUACCGGAUAGGAGCUCCUGCUGCAUGGUGGGGGUUGGAAAGUUUCGGCGGUUGGGGAUGGACUCGCGGCUUAUCAGCUUGUUGGUGGGGUAGUGGCUUACCAAGGCUUUGACGGUUAGCCGGCCUGAGAGGGUGACCGGCCACAUUGGGACUGAGAUACGGCCCAGACUCCUACGGGAGGCAGCAGUGGGGAAUAUUACACAAUGGGCGGAAGCCUGAUGCAGCAACGCCGCGUGCGGGAUGACGGCCUUCGGGUUGUAAACCGCUUUCGCCUGUGACGAAGCGUGAGUGACGGUAAUGGGUAAAGAAGCACCGGCUAACUACGUG